CCUACGGGUGGCAGCAGUAGGGAAUCUUCCACAAUGGGCGAAAGCCUGAUGGAGCAACGCCGCGUGGGUGAAGAAGGUCUUCGGAUCGUAAAACUCUGUUGUUAGAGAAGAAAGUGCGUGAGAGUAACUGUUCACGUUUCGACGGUAUCUAACCAGCAAGCCACGGCUAACUACGUGCCAGCAGCCGCGGUAAUACGUAGGUGGCAAGCGUUAUCCGGAUUUAUUGGGCGUAAAGGGAACGCAGGCGGUCUUUUAAGUCUGAUGUGAAAGCCUUCGGCUUAACCGGAGUAGUGCAUUGGAAACUGGGGGACUUGAGUGCAGAAGGGGAGAGUGGAACUCCAUGUGUAGCGGUGAAAUGCGUAGAUAUAUGGAAGAACACCAGUGGCGAAAGCGGCUCUCUGGUCUGUAACUGACGCUGAGGUUCGAAAGCGUGGGUAGCAAACAGGAUUAGAUACCCGUGUAGUC
RNAcentral lists this ribosomal RNA (465 nucleotides) under uncultured bacterium. RNAcentral describes it as "partial 16S ribosomal RNA". It matches the Rfam family "Bacterial small subunit ribosomal RNA", at positions 338 to 795 of the family's 1533-position model. The record is from RNAcentral.